This 76-nucleotide non-coding RNA is filed under the name bovine gut metagenome. Its description in RNAcentral is "pemK RNA". It matches the Rfam family "pemK RNA". The record is from RNAcentral.
ACAAUGAUACUUCCGUCCGGCAGCACGUAGUGCGGGGCGGCCCGUGGAGAUCCUUCGGGGGGUUCGAUUCCCAUGA